Molecule: long non-coding RNA, 1008 nt
Filed under: Pan troglodytes (chimpanzee)
Lineage: Eukaryota; Metazoa; Chordata; Mammalia; Primates; Hominidae
Description: lincRNA
Source: RNAcentral
GGCCUCCAUCUUGAAAACGGAAAAUAAAAACAGCAGACCUAUGAAGGUCGAAGGGGAAGAAAAGCUGUAUCGAUUGUUGAGAUCUGGCGACUUGUUUAAAUUUCAUCAGCCUCACUUCUAUGAACUCUCAGAGCUGAUUACCAACUCCUACCACUGUUAACCCUCAUCCAGGAAAAAGCUUAUGUCUUUAACAUUCUGAGUGGGCUUCAGCAUCCUUGCAUAUGUUCAAUUCUUAAAAACCUGUUGAAAUAAAAGAUCAGGAGACAUAGGAAGGAUGCCAGAAGAGAGCGUGGCCUCAUGUGUACCAGCUCUCUGCUCUCCUUUGCCUUGGGACGUUCCAUCCCUGGAAGUUUCCCUGCCCACAUCUUUGUAGAGAGUCCAUUCUCCAAGCUUCAGUGUGUCAUCUGUGAGGACUGUGACCAACCUGGUACAUCGCCUCAGGGCAUUCAUUUCAGGCUCCUUCUAAAUGGUCAAGGAUCUUGGAAGCAGAGGGAUCUGCAGAAGUGCUUGCAACACUUUCAGCCUCAACCAGCAUCAGAGACAAAAAUCCUUUCUGGAAUGAGUCUUCUGUCAGCCUAACAAGCAUAGCAAGAAGAUAUAGCCCCACAACCACUUUAUGCACAAAGUUAGAAGCAUAAAAUCUCAUGGAAAGAGACCGAUUAUCCACAGAAGAGGUUGUCUUGCCAUUUCUCUCAUGUUAGAGGUAAACCUCAGGUUCUCCUCCUGCCUUUUGCUAAGUAUAUGUCUUGAUGACAAGCCUUCUGCUGAUGAGCUGUGUUUCUGGACCGAUCAUGGUAGAAGUCAAUUAACGUGUCCCUCACUUGGGGUUUCUCAAGGCUGCACUGAUGAGGAAACUGAAACAGAAAAUCCAGAGUAAAUUCCACCAGGCCACACAGCAAGGUCUGAUAGAGCCAGGAGAGACUUUAUGAAAUCCAGACUCUCACACUAAUGCUCUAUCAGCUAGACCUCCAUGUGAGUCUCCCCAAUGUAGGUAGGAAGUGCUUUCCC